GACGAACGCUGGCGGCGUGCCUAAUACAUGCAAGUAGAACGCUGAAGGAGGAGCUUGCUUCUCUGGAUGAGUUGCGAACGGGUGAGUAACGCGUAGGUAACCUGCCUGGUAGCGGGGGAUAACUAUUGGAAACGAUAGCUAAUUCCGCAUAAGAGUAGAUGUUGCAUGACAUUUACUUAAAAGGUGCAAUUGCAUCACUAUCCAGAUGGACCUGCGUUGUAUUAGCUAGUUGGUGGGGUAACGUCUCACCAAGGCGACGAUACAUAGCCGACCUGAGAGGGUGAUCGGCCACACUGGGACUGAGACGCGGCCCAGACUCCUACGGGAGGCAGCAGUGAGGGAAUCUUCGGCAAUGGACAGGAAGUCGUGACCUGAGCAACGCCGCGUGAGUGAAGAAGGUUUUCGGAUCGUAAAGCUCUGUUGUAAGAGAAGAACGAGUGUGAUGAUGUGUUUAGUUCACAG
RNAcentral lists this ribosomal RNA (462 nucleotides) under Streptococcus mitis. RNAcentral describes it as "bacterial SSU rRNA". It matches the Rfam family "Bacterial small subunit ribosomal RNA", at positions 28 to 469 of the family's 1533-position model. The record is from RNAcentral. Lineage: Bacteria; Bacillati; Bacillota; Bacilli; Lactobacillales; Streptococcaceae.